AGCGGCGGACGGGUGAGUAACACGUGGAUAACCUACCUAUAAGACUGGGAUAACUUCGGGAAACCGGAGCUAAUACCGCAUAACAGUUUAUGCCGCAUGGCAUAAGAGUGAAAGGUGCUUUCGGGUGUCGCUGAUGGAUGGACCCGCGGUGCAUUAGCUAGUUGGUGAGGUAACGGCUCACCAAGGCCACGAUGCAUAGCCGACCUGAGAGGGUGAUCGGCCACACUGGGACUGAGACACGGCCCAGACUCCUACGGGAGGCAGCAGUAGGGAAUCUUCGGCAAUGGACGAAAGUCUGACCGAGCAACGCCGCGUGAGUGAAGAAGGUUUUCGGAUCGUAAAACUCUGUUGUUAGAGAAGAACAAGGACGUUAGUAACUGAACGUCCCCUGACGGUAUCUAACCAGAAAGCCACGGCUAACUACGUGCCAGCAGCCGCGGUAAUACGUAGGUGGCAAGCGUUGUCCGGAUUUAUUGGGCGUAAAGCGAGCGCAGGCGGUUUCUUAAGUCUGAUGUGAAAGCCCCCGGCUCAACCGGGGAGGGUCAUUGGAAACUGGGAGACUUGAGUGCAGAAGAGGAGAGUGGAAUUCCAUGUGUAGCGGUGAAAUGCGUAGAUAUAUGGAGGAACACCAGUGGCGAAGGCGGCUCUCUGGUCUGUAACUGACGCUGAGGCUCGAAAGCGUGGGGAGCAAACAGG
Molecule: ribosomal RNA, 696 nt
Filed under: uncultured Bacilli bacterium
Lineage: Bacteria; Bacillati; Bacillota; Bacilli
Description: bacterial SSU rRNA
Rfam family: Bacterial small subunit ribosomal RNA
Source: RNAcentral